Molecule: long non-coding RNA, 944 nt
Organism: Mustela erminea (ermine)
Lineage: Eukaryota; Metazoa; Chordata; Mammalia; Carnivora; Mustelidae
Exons: 3
Source: RefSeq, a predicted model, not a curated record
UUUGCACUCAGAGGAGGUGUUUGCUCUUUAUUAUGAGAGCAAAGGAGAACCAUUGAAAUGUUUUAAGUAGGGAACUAGGAAGGUCAGAUUUCUGCUUUGGAAAAAUCACUUUGUCUGAGGAGUAGCAAAUGGAUUUGACAACAGGGCAAAAAAUUACCCUGCCGUUUAAUGAGUACCUGUUAACAUGUGUCAUUUAAUUUAUUUUAGUUAAUCCAUAUAGUAACCCUGCAAGAUAGGUAUUGAUACCUUCAUGUUAUAGAUGAAGAAACUGAGGCUCAGGAAGGUGAAAGAAUUUGUCCUGGUUCACAUAGCUACCAAGUGGUGGAGCCUGAAUUCAAACGCAGAGUUACCUGCCUCUAAGCACAUGCCAUGUCCGCUCUGCCAGGCUGUCCCCGUAAUAGAGGCCAGCACUGUGGCAGCCUCCUCCUGGUCACAGCACAGUAUGUGUGCAGGUUCAGGGCCUGCCAACAGGGCUCACCCUCCCUGGGUGGAACCAGCAGCACUUUCUCGGGCAGCUCGGUAAUUGGUAGUUCAGGUUUAUCUCCUGGACCUCAGCUCAGCCACCACUCCAGCUCCUCAUGGGCUGUCUUAGCUCACACCCUCAUUUCCAUUCACAGUUCAUAAUAGAAAAGAGGAUUCUAGAACAGUGUAUAUCUCUUGACUUCUUACUCGCUGAUUGGACAGAGCCUGCUUCUGGUGCAGCUAUGCCAGCCUGGCUUUGCUGGCAUUGUUACGGUCCUCUGAUCCUUUAGGGAGAGCUGCUUUUGUGAGAGCGAGAUCGGCUGGAAUGUGCCUCUGAUCUCAUACAGAUCUAAUCUGCCUUCUUGAGAUGCAUCUUUAUCAGGCUCUCUUCAGCUGAGACUGACGUUUAGGGGAAGGUGGUUAUAGCACUUGUUUAAUCGCCAUUGAAGAUCUGAAAGAAGUAAAAGGUAAAUACCUGUGUG